CAAUGAGGUAGAGGUUGCGAUAAUUAAAAGUAGUACACUGGAAGCUUGAUGGAGCUCUUGAUAGUGGUCGAAAGGAAUUAUCGCCGAAGCUCGAAGGAUCCAUUUUAUCUUUUGAGCUGGGUUUGCAUCGAACAGGUGUAAAACUGUCACAGGACUAUUCUGUGGAGAACUAUAAAGGGA
RNAcentral lists this non-coding RNA (180 nucleotides) under Domibacillus iocasae. RNAcentral's name for it is "Lysine sequence". It matches the Rfam family "Lysine riboswitch aptamer". From Rfam's summary of the family: Riboswitches are metabolite binding domains within certain messenger RNAs that serve as precision sensors for their corresponding targets. Allosteric rearrangement of mRNA structure is mediated by ligand binding, and this results in modulation of gene expression. Lineage: Bacteria; Bacillati; Bacillota; Bacilli; Caryophanales; Bacillaceae. The record is from Rfam by way of RNAcentral.